RNAcentral lists this transfer RNA (89 nucleotides) under Agrobacterium salinitolerans. RNAcentral's name for it is "tRNA-Ser". It matches the Rfam family "tRNA". From Rfam's summary of the family: Transfer RNA (tRNA) molecules are approximately 80 nucleotides in length. Their secondary structure includes four short double-helical elements and three loops (D, anti-codon, and T loops). Further hydrogen bonds mediate the characteristic L-shaped molecular structure. tRNAs have two regions of fundamental functional importance: the anti-codon, which is responsible for specific mRNA codon recognition, and the 3' end, to which the tRNAs corresponding amino acid is attached (by aminoacyl-tRNA synthetases). tRNAs cope with the degeneracy of the genetic code in two manners: having more than one tRNA (with a specific anti-codon) for a particular amino acid; and 'wobble' base-pairing, i.e. permitting non-standard base-pairing at the 3rd anti-codon position. Lineage: Bacteria; Pseudomonadati; Pseudomonadota; Alphaproteobacteria; Hyphomicrobiales; Rhizobiaceae. The record is from RNAcentral.
GGAGAGGUGGCGAGUGGUCGAAUGCACCGCACUCGAAAUGCGGCAUACCUGCAAGGGUAUCGUGGGUUCGAAUCCCACCCUCUCCGCCA